Dermacentor andersoni is the source of this 539-nucleotide long non-coding RNA. RefSeq lists it as uncharacterized. NCBI's taxonomy places the organism in Eukaryota, Metazoa, Arthropoda, Arachnida, Ixodida, Ixodidae. The record is from RefSeq and is a predicted model, not a curated record.
GAUAGUUCUUUUUCUGCAGUCUCUGUGUGAACGUGCAUAUAAAGGAUUUUCAGUGCAAAUGUGUAAAACAGCAUGAUGAAGGUCUAUGUCUUAGGAACUGCUGUUAUUUUUGCUGCCUUCAUUUCGUUAACUGAGAAAGGAAUCCCAUCGACGGCAUUUGCAAGUCCUAUUCCUGUGCCAACCUGGUCAGGCCAGCCGGGUGGCUCUAGUCGAAGGCAAGGGGCUGCUGCCUAUAGUAGCAACGCUUUGUCCCGUAGACAAGCACAGCAAAUUCAGAGCCAGCUCGCCGCUCAAAGACGCCAACAAGAGCAGCAACGACGACAACAACAGCAACGACAACAACAACAGCGACAACAACAAAGGAGACAAGGUUGAUACAAGCAGAAAUAUGACAAAUAUGUCGCCUUGUUUAGACGAAAAAUAUGCUAAGGAGGAGUGGUCAGACGUCCUCAAUCCAGGGCCCUACUGGGCUGUGCCGCCUGCUUGACCUGCCAAUUAAAGAUUUUUGUCCUGCCAAGUCGGAAUGGCCAAGCUGUUCC